CCUACGUGGGGCAGCAGUGAGGAAUAUUGGUCAAUGGGCGCGAGCCUGAACCAGCCAAGUAGCGUGAAGGAUGACUGCCCUACGGGUUGUAAACUUCUUUUAUAAAGGAAUAAAGUGAGGCACGUGUGCCUUUUUGUAUGUACUUUAUGAAUAAGGAUCGGCUAACUCCGUGCCAGCAGCCGCGGUAAUACGGAGGAUCCGAGCGUUAUCCGGAUUUAUUGGGUUUAAAGGGAGCGUAGAUGGGUUGUUAAGUCAGUUGUGAAAGUUUGCGGCUCAACCGUAAAAUUGCAGUUGAUACUGGCAGUCUUGAGUACAGUUGAGGUAGGCGGAAUUCGUGGUGUAGCGGUGAAAUGCUUAGAUAUCACGAAGAACUCCGAUUGCGAAGGCAGCUUACUAAACUGCCACUGACAUUGAUGCUCGAAAGUGUGGGUAUCAAACAGGAUUAGAUACCCUAGUAGUC
RNAcentral lists this ribosomal RNA (460 nucleotides) under uncultured bacterium. RNAcentral describes it as "partial 16S ribosomal RNA". It matches the Rfam family "Bacterial small subunit ribosomal RNA", at positions 338 to 795 of the family's 1533-position model. The record is from RNAcentral.